AACCUCCAGAGCCAGUUCUAUCCUCGAUAAAUUCAGAGUGAACUACUCGUGGGGAAAAUCGUUGCGAUGUUGGGGAACUGGCGGAAUAUGUCAACACUGCAACUGAUUAAUUGCAGCCAGAUCCAUAAGGAAUCAGAGGUGCCGAGACAGAUUGCAAUUAACACAAUCUAUUUGGUCAUUCUGAGCUGCUGAGGAUAUUCGAACACAGCAAAUUUAAAGCUGAACAGCCUGUGGGGAGCUAGGGAAGUGAUUGCUGGGCCUCUUGCUGAGAUCUUUGAAUCAUCGAUAGUCACAGAAAGAACUGAAAAAUUGAAGUAAAUGAUUACCUUCUGAUGUUCUCUGAGCCAAAUGGGUUUUCUCCUCGAGUUUAAGCCCAGGAAUGUUGGUAUUACUCAAAGAGAUUGUGAAACAAUGCAGACAGGAUGGUACCAGCGAAGCCAAUAUUUAUUGCCCAUCCCUAAUUGCCCAGAAGGCAGUUAAGAGUCAAUCACAUUGCUCUGGAGUCACAUGCAGACCAGACCAGGGAUCUCUGAGGUGUUGGCAACUUUUGAACACCGAAAUGGGGUGACAAUGUGAAAAGGUUUUUUUAUUCUCAU
Molecule: long non-coding RNA, 596 nt
Organism: Hemiscyllium ocellatum (epaulette shark)
Lineage: Eukaryota; Metazoa; Chordata; Chondrichthyes; Orectolobiformes; Hemiscylliidae
Exons: 5
Source: RefSeq, a predicted model, not a curated record